AUCGCUUCUCGGCCUUUUGGCUAAGAUCAAGUGUCGUAUCUGUUCUUAUCAGUUUCAUAUCUGAUACGUCCUCUGUCAAGACUGGAAAUGCUAAUCAUGUUGGCAUGUUAGCAGGAUGAGCAGAGUCCUC
RNAcentral lists this small nuclear RNA (130 nucleotides) under Prolemur simus (greater bamboo lemur). Its description in RNAcentral is "U2 spliceosomal RNA (ENSPSMG00000004904.1)". It matches the Rfam family "U2 spliceosomal RNA". From Rfam's summary of the family: U2 is a small nuclear RNA (snRNA) component of the spliceosome (involved in pre-mRNA splicing). Complementary binding between U2 snRNA (in an area lying towards the 5' end but 3' to hairpin I) and the branchpoint sequence (BPS) of the intron results the bulging out of an unpaired adenosine, on the BPS, which initiates a nucleophilic attack at the intronic 5' splice site, thus starting the first of two transesterification reactions that mediate splicing. Lineage: Eukaryota; Metazoa; Chordata; Mammalia; Primates; Lemuridae. The record is from RNAcentral.